RNAcentral lists this long non-coding RNA (906 nucleotides) under Gadus morhua (Atlantic cod). RNAcentral describes it as "lncRNA (ENSGMOG00000030784.1)". Lineage: Eukaryota; Metazoa; Chordata; Actinopteri; Gadiformes; Gadidae. The record is from RNAcentral.
GAUGUACUGUCACUGUUGUUUCCAGUCCAUUCUAUCUCUAUCAUGUGCUAAAAAUACAUCUAAACACACAGGGGACCCCCGCUGGAGAACAUACCUAAUGUGCACAGUCAGUGGGGAGGUCCUGACAGGAUCUCCCCUGGGGAGAAGCACAAGUUGGCGUUGACCAUGCGCCUGUUGUAUAAUCCAGCGCAUCCAAAGACCAGGACCAUCAUGAACGAAAAGUUUGGGAUCCCACUGCCAGAUGUUCACAAGAAAAGUGUGACCUCCGCAGCCCACCAGGGGGUGAUCAGCGUCCCCAGAGUGGGCCUCUCCACCCUGGUUUCUAGGCAGCAGCCCGGGUACUUUCCCCUGGCCCGGCCCGAGGCAGGAGGCCUGAGAACCGCAGGGGGGCCGCGGCUGGUGGACGUCGGUCUCCCCUUGCCGGCGCCAGACGUCUCUUCUCUGCAGACUUUGGUCCAGCACAAGGCUGCGCCUCUCCACGCCAGAGAAGCACAACCCUUUCCCUCAGCGCAGGUCGGUCUGUCCUUUAUUCGCAAAGACUCUACCGCAUGAAAAACCUAGUUGCUUGGUGUAGCCAUUGAAUAUAUUAUCUAUAUCGACUCCAGAUGGAGGAUUUCAAACCGCAAAGUUGUACAAUAUCAGAACUACUAGUUUAAAAGUGGUGAAAAGCUCCAUCUCUCCUCCUGGUUUUCGGAGGUUUGGCACGGGGAUCUGAAUACAAAGGUGUUGCUUCAGAAGCAAUAAGACACUGUGUUGAACGCUCGCUGCUACAAGCCAAUCUAUUCUUUAAAACAAUUCCCUUAUUAGCUUUGAUUUGUUAGAUUACAAUCCCACAACGACAGUUCUCUAGUUGUAGAUGUAAGUAAGUGCGAUGAAGGCUGCUUCAGUCCUUGCCUUGUUAUUUGU